RNAcentral lists this ribosomal RNA (906 nucleotides) under Rhizoctonia solani. RNAcentral describes it as "LSU rRNA". It matches the Rfam family "Eukaryotic large subunit ribosomal RNA", at positions 72 to 1419 of the family's 3401-position model. Lineage: Eukaryota; Fungi; Basidiomycota; Agaricomycetes; Cantharellales; Ceratobasidiaceae. The record is from RNAcentral.
GGAUUCCCUAGUACGGCGAGUGAAGCGGGAAGAGCUCAAAUUUAAAAUCUGGCAGUGUAUUCUGUCCGAGUUGUAGUCUAGAAAAGCAUCAUCCGUGCUGGACCAUGUACAAGUCUCUUGGAACAGAGCGUCAUAGAGGGUGAGAAUCCCGUCCUUGACAUGGACUCCCAGUACUUUGUGUUGUGCUCUCAACGAGUCGAGUUGUUUGGGAAUGCAGCUCAAAAUGGGUGGUAAAUUCCAUCUAAAGCUAAAUAUUGGCGAGAGACCGAUAGCGAACAAGUACCGUGAGGGAAAGAGGAAAAGCACUUUGGAGAGAGAGUUAAACAGUACGUGAAAUUGUUGAAAUGGAAACCCUUGAAGUCAGUCGCGUUCUCUGGGAUUCACCCUUGCUUUUGCUUGGUGCAUUUCCUAGUCUACGGGCCAGCAUGAAUUUUGACCAAUGGAAAAAGGCUUGGGGAAUGUGGCACCUUCGGGUGUGUUAUAGCCCCUUGUCAUACACGUUGGUUGGGAUUGAGGUCUUAGUGCACGCUUCGGUUGUGCUUUGAUGCUGGCGUAAUGGCUUUAAGCGACCCGUCUUGAAACACGGACCAAGGAGUCUAACAUGUCUGCAAGUGUUUGGGUGCAAAACCCGAGCGCGUAAUGAAAGUGAUAGUUGGGAACCUCUUCAGAGGGGCACCGACGCCCGGACCAGACCUUCUGUGACGGAUCCAAGGUAGAGCAUAUAUGUUGGGACCCGAAAGAUGGUGAACUAUGCCUGCAUAGGGUGAAGCCAGAGGAAACUCUGGUGGAGGCUCGUAGCGAUUCUGACGUGCAAAUCGAUCGUAAAUGUGGUAUAGGGGCGAAAGACUAAUCGAACCAUUGGUUGUGCUACUUGGUGGUAAGAGGCAUCUGAAAGGAUUAGCCUAG